CGUGUGUAGAUUUUUGCACGUUGACCCAAACGCAGAGUAACAAGCAGGAACGGAAGUUUUUAAAUAAAAGCGAGCUUUAUUUAAAGCUGACAAAAUCCAAAAACCACAAAACAAGGAGGGGAACAAAGUACAAAGAAAACAUAC
Molecule: long non-coding RNA, 144 nt
Organism: Sebastes umbrosus (honeycomb rockfish)
Lineage: Eukaryota; Metazoa; Chordata; Actinopteri; Perciformes; Sebastidae
Exons: 3
Source: RefSeq, a predicted model, not a curated record